CAGUAAAUUUGAGCCAAAGAGCCCUUUAGUCCGAAUCCCCGAAACUAGACGAGCUACUCCGGGACAGCCUAUCUAGGGCCAACCCGUCUCUGUGGCAAAAGAGUGGGAAGAGCCCCGAGUAGCGGUGAUAAACCUAUCGAGCCUAGUUAUAGCUGGUUGCUUACGAAAUGAAUAGAAGUUCAGCCCCAUAACCUUCUUAAAGCCCCAGGUUUAACUAAUAUUGUUUAAAAGAAGUUAAAGGAGUUAGUCAAAAGAGGUACAGCUCUUUUGAAAAAGGACACAACCUUAACAGGCGGCCAAGGAUCAUAAUUAUUAAGGCACCUGUUGAAGUGG
RNAcentral lists this ribosomal RNA (333 nucleotides) under Umbra limi (central mudminnow). Its description in RNAcentral is "partial 16S ribosomal RNA". It matches the Rfam family "Bacterial large subunit ribosomal RNA", at positions 668 to 1075 of the family's 2925-position model. Lineage: Eukaryota; Metazoa; Chordata; Actinopteri; Esociformes; Umbridae. The record is from RNAcentral.